GUAGCCUCGCUUGAGGAUGCAAUAGUGGAGUUAAAGAGGCAAGCUGCUCAGAGCCAACGAGAAACCACUGAGCUGAAAAGCGAGCUCGCGAGUGCGGAAGAAGAGGUUCAAGCUCUUAAAGGUGACAAUUCCGCACUUGCUGGAAAGGCUGCAGGAUUGGAUUUAGAUGUGCGCUACCAAUCCGACCAGCUUCAAGAGCUUAUAUUCUUUGGUCCUUCCGUGUUUCCUGCUCUACCCCCCGACUACAUCACGGACAUAAUGGCGUGGGUAGAGCAACAUCCUGAGGAGCUCGAGAAAAAUAAAGAGGCUCUCGACAAGAUGAAGGACGAAGCUGCACAAGAUUAGAUCUAAG
Molecule: long non-coding RNA, 352 nt
Filed under: Zostera marina
Lineage: Eukaryota; Viridiplantae; Streptophyta; Magnoliopsida; Alismatales; Zosteraceae
Description: long non-coding RNA (ZMAR_LNC001095)
Source: RNAcentral